AUGUGAACAUACCUACUGUUGCUUCGGCGGGAUUGCCCCGGGCGCCUCGUGUGCCCCGGAUCAGGCGCCCGCCUAGGAAACUUAACUCUUGUUUUAUUUUGGAAUCUUCUGAGUAGUUUUUACAAAUAAAUAAAAACUUUCAACAACGGAUCUCUUGGUUCUGGCAUCGAUGAAGAACGCAGCGAAAUGCGAUAAGUAAUGUGAAUUGCAGAAUUCAGUGAAUCAUCGAAUCUUUGAACGCACAUUGCGCCCGCCAGUAUUCUGGCGGGCAUGCCUGUCUGAGCGUCAUUUCAACCCUCAUGCCCCUAGGGCGUGGUGUUGGGGAUCGGCCAAAGCCCGCGAGGGACGGCCGGCCCCUAAAUCUAGUGGCGGACCCGUCGUGGCCUCCUCUGCGAAGUAGUGAUAUUCCGCAUCGGAGAGCGACGAGCCCCUGCCGUUAAACCCCCAACUUUCCAAGGUUGACCUCAGAUCAGGUAGGAAUACCCGCUGAACUUAAGCAUAUCAAA
Molecule: ribosomal RNA, 506 nt
Filed under: Clonostachys sp. 126 XC-2016
Lineage: Eukaryota; Fungi; Ascomycota; Sordariomycetes; Hypocreales; Bionectriaceae
Description: eukaryotic LSU rRNA
Rfam family: 5.8S ribosomal RNA (bases 135-288)
Source: RNAcentral